AGCAGCCGCGGUAAUUCCAGCUCCAAUAGCGUAUAUUAAAGUUGUUGCAGUUAAAAAGCUCGUAGUUGAAUUUCGGGAUUAGUAGGUUGGUCGUGCCUCUGGUAUGUACUCGCCUUACUGAUUCCUCCUUCUUGAAGAACUGUAAUGCCAUUAAUUUGGUGUUGCAGGGAAACAGGACUGUUACUUUGAAAAAAUUAGAGUGUUUAAAGCAGGCCAUUGCCUGAAUACAUUAGCAUGGAAUAAUGAAAUAGGACGUUGAUCCUAUUUUGUUGGUUUCUAGGAUUGACGUAAUGAUUAAUAGGGAUAGUUGGGGGCAUUAGUAUUCAAUUGUCAGAGGUGAAAUUCUUGGAUUUAUUGAAGACUAACUACUGCGAAAGCAUUUGCCAAGGAUGUUUUCAUUAAUCAAGAACGAAAGUUAGGGGAUCGAAGACGAUCAGAUACCGUCGUAGUUUUAACCAUAAACUAUGCCGACUAGGGAUCGGAUGAUGUUAAUUUUUAACGACUUCAUUCGGCGCCUUAC
Molecule: ribosomal RNA, 520 nt
Filed under: uncultured Glomus
Lineage: Eukaryota; Fungi; Glomeromycota; Glomeromycetes; Glomerales; Glomeraceae
Description: SSU rRNA
Rfam family: Eukaryotic small subunit ribosomal RNA
Source: RNAcentral